This is a long non-coding RNA of Ipomoea triloba (trilobed morning glory), 847 nucleotides long. RefSeq lists it as uncharacterized. The record is from RefSeq and is a predicted model, not a curated record. The transcript is spliced from 3 exons. Lineage: Eukaryota; Viridiplantae; Streptophyta; Magnoliopsida; Solanales; Convolvulaceae.
UCGAGCACUGCAAAUGUUCUUGAUACAAGACCAGGUAAAACUAACUCCGAAGCAACAACUAUUUAGCUUUCCUGACUUGCCAUAUUUGGUAGUUGUUUCAUUUGGUCUGGAGGGAGGGGGUUGGCGCACUUGCCUUGAACAAUUGCUUUUUUAUUUAAGAUUGCAAUAUGCAGAUAAAGAUUGGUUUCAUGGGAAAGGUUUUAGUAAAAUUGAUAACUGCCCAACUCACUAAGCUGUAGAGGAUAUCUCAUUUCAAUCCCCUAUGUGCAGAGUAUACUUACUAAGUACUUAGAAUGAAGAGUUUAUAAGUGCGUGCUAACAUUGGAUCAGAUACAGUUGAUUUUAGUAAAUGGAUUCAUAUAUAUGUGUAAUUGAUAAGGCUAUGCUAAGAACAUUUUUCAUCCCCGAAGUGUUUCCAGUUUUACUUCAUUUGCUUUGGGCUGCCACUAACAUUUCAUCCCCCUUCAAUGUUAAAUUACUCUCAGUCAUGUUUGAUGUACGUGUUCUUAUUUUACAUGACUUACAUGUCUGCUCUACGAGAUCCUUCUAUCUUUAGGUUCUGCGCUAUUCCACAGGUCAUGGCGAUUGGGACAUUAGCCAUGUGCUACAACAACAUUGAAGUUUUCAGGGGUGUUGUAAAGAUGAGACGUGGUCUUACUGCUAAGGUUAUUGACUAGACUAGAACAAUGGAAGAUGUCUAUGGUGCUUUUUUUUUUCUUGCAUGCUAAAAUCAAAGGUAUGGAGCUUUACACUUCUCACUGACUUUAUGUAUACCUGAAUAUCCACUGAAUGUGUUUCAUAAGCAUUUAUGUGCUAUGACACACUGAUAAUGUUUUAUUUUUUGCAA